GAUGAACGCUGGCGGCGUGCCUAAUACAUGCAAGUCGAGCGAGCAGACGAGGAGCUUGCUCCUCUGACGUUAGCGGCGGACGGGUGAGUAACACGUGGAUAACCUACCUAUAAGACUGGGAUAACUUCGGGAAACCGGAGCUAAUACCGGAUAACAUGUUGAACCGCAUGGUUCAACAGUGAAAGACGGUCUUGCUGUCACUUAUAGAUGGAUCCGCGCCGCAUUAGCUAGUUGGUAAGGUAACGGCUUACCAAGGCAACGAUGCGUAGCCGACCUGAGAGGGUGAUCGGCCACACUGGAACUGAGACACGGUCCAGACUCCUACGGGAGGCAGCAGUAGGGAAUCUUCCGCAAUGGGCGAAAGCCUGACGGAGCAACGCCGCGUGAGUGAAGAAGGUCUUCGGAUCGUAAAACUCUGUUAUUAGGGAAGAACAAAUGUGUAAGUAACUAUGCACGUCUUGACGGUACCUAAUCAGAAAGCCACGGCUAACUACGUG
This 497-nucleotide ribosomal RNA is filed under the name uncultured bacterium. RNAcentral describes it as "partial 16S ribosomal RNA". It matches the Rfam family "Bacterial small subunit ribosomal RNA", at positions 28 to 507 of the family's 1533-position model. The record is from RNAcentral.